Peromyscus maniculatus bairdii (prairie deer mouse) is the source of this 146-nucleotide small nucleolar RNA. Ensembl annotates it as predicted gene, 25569. NCBI's taxonomy places the organism in Eukaryota, Metazoa, Chordata, Mammalia, Rodentia, Cricetidae. The record is from Ensembl.
CCCCCCUGGCAAUGGGCAAAGAGACAUCUUGUUGUUGGUGGUGUUCUUAUAUCAGUUAGGGGCAGAGCAGAUAGAUGACAGUCUAUUGUUCAUCCUAGCUUCAUGCCUGGCUUGGUGGCCAAAGCUGUUUCAUGUAGGACACAUUU